Molecule: ribosomal RNA, 305 nt
Filed under: uncultured bacterium
Lineage: Bacteria
Description: partial 16S ribosomal RNA
Rfam family: Bacterial small subunit ribosomal RNA
Source: RNAcentral
ACAGCAGUAGCCGCGGUAAUACGAAGGGGGCUAGCGUUGCUCGGAAUGACUGGGCGUAAAGGGCGCGUAGGCGGAUUGUUUAGUUAGGCGUGAAAUUCCUGGGCUUAACCUGGGGACUGCGCUUAAUACAGGCAGUCUAGAGUGAGGAAGAGGGUUGUGGAAUUCCCAGUGUAGAGGUGAAAUUCGUAGAUAUUGGGAAGAACACCAGUGGCGAAGGCGGCUCACUGGACCGACACUGACGCUGAGGCGCGAAAGCGUGGGGAGCAAACAGGAUUAGAUACCCCCGUAGUCCCUGUCUCUUAUAU